This 521-nucleotide ribosomal RNA is filed under the name uncultured bacterium. RNAcentral's name for it is "bacterial SSU rRNA". It matches the Rfam family "Archaeal small subunit ribosomal RNA", at positions 345 to 866 of the family's 1478-position model. The record is from RNAcentral.
AACCUCCGCAAUGUGAGAAAUCGCGACGGGGGGAUCCCAAGUGCCACUCUUAACGGGAUGGCUUUUCAUUAGUGUAAAGAGCUUUUGGAAUAAGGGCUGGGCAAGACCGGUGCCAGCCGCCGCGGUAACACCGGCAGCUCUAGUGGUAGCAGUUUUUAUUGGGCCUAAAGCGUCCGUAGCCGGUUUAAUAAGUCUCUGGUGAAAUCCUGUAGCUUAACUGUGGGAAUUGCUGGAGAUACUAUUAGACUUGAGACCGGGAGAGGUUAGAGGUACUCCCAGGGUAGAGGUGAAAUUCUGUAAUCCUGGGAGGACCGCCUGUUGCGAAGGCGUCUAACUGGAACGGUUCUGACGGUGAGGGACGAAAGUUAGGGGCGCGAACCGGAUUAGAUACCCGGGUAGUCCUAACUGUAAACGAUGCGGACUUGGUGUUGGGGUGGCUUUGAGCUGCUCCAGUGCCGAAGGGAAGCUAUUAAGUCCGCCGCCUGGGAGGUACGGUCGCAAGACUGAAACUUAAAGGAAUU